This 396-nucleotide ribosomal RNA is filed under the name uncultured bacterium. RNAcentral describes it as "bacterial SSU rRNA". It matches the Rfam family "Bacterial small subunit ribosomal RNA", at positions 30 to 429 of the family's 1533-position model. The record is from RNAcentral.
AUUGAACGCUGGCGGCAUGCCUUACACAUGCAAGUCGAACGGCAGCGGACCUUCGGGUGCCGGCGAGUGGCGAACGGGUGAGUAAUAUAUCGGAACGUACCUUUCAGUGGGGGAUAACGUAGCGAAAGUUACGCUAAUACCGCAUAUUCUGUGAGCAGGAAAGCAGGGGAUCGCAAGACCUUGCGCUGAUUGAGCGGCCGAUAUCAGAUUAGCUAGUUGGUGAGGUAAAGGCUCACCAAGGCGACGAUCUGUAGCGGGUCUGAGAGGAUGAUCCGCCACACUGGAACUGAGACACGGUCCAGACUCCUACGGGAGGCAGCAGUGGGGAAUUUUGGACAAUGGGCGCAAGCCUGAUCCAGCCAUGCCGCGUGAGUGAAGAAGGCCUUCGGUUGUAAG